UCCCUGGUGGCUCAGAAGGUAAAGCAUCUGCCUACAAUGCAGGAGACCCGGGUUCGAUCCCUGGGUUGGGAA
Molecule: transfer RNA, 72 nt
Filed under: Ovis aries (sheep)
Lineage: Eukaryota; Metazoa; Chordata; Mammalia; Artiodactyla; Bovidae
Rfam family: tRNA
About the family: Transfer RNA (tRNA) molecules are approximately 80 nucleotides in length. Their secondary structure includes four short double-helical elements and three loops (D, anti-codon, and T loops). Further hydrogen bonds mediate the characteristic L-shaped molecular structure. tRNAs have two regions of fundamental functional importance: the anti-codon, which is responsible for specific mRNA codon recognition, and the 3' end, to which the tRNAs corresponding amino acid is attached (by aminoacyl-tRNA synthetases). tRNAs cope with the degeneracy of the genetic code in two manners: having more than one tRNA (with a specific anti-codon) for a particular amino acid; and 'wobble' base-pairing, i.e. permitting non-standard base-pairing at the 3rd anti-codon position.
Source: Rfam by way of RNAcentral